GUACAGGAAAGGAGAGGAUCAAAAGACACUAGCAUCGUCUUUAAAAUCCGAUAUCCUUGCCAUGGUUAGUCAACAGAACAUGGGACUUGAGGCAAGUCUACAUUUGGAAGACCUUAAGGGAUAAAUGCUUGUUCAAGGAUGAGCUUCAUACCGUGAUGAUUUUUCUGGGUCUUCUGUUAGGUCCUGAGUUCAAAGUUUCAGCAAUAGUCUCUUUUGUCUUUGUAUUUGUUUGCAAUUUCAUCUUUGGCUUUCUGCCUUAUGUCGACAACUUUGCAAGCAUUGGAGGUUUCGUAUCAAGGUUCCUUCUUGGAUCUGUGCUUCUACCCAGUAGAAAGCUUGAAGUUUCGUAUCAGGCAUUGAGACUCAUAAACAACCAUCAAGCUCUAACCAUUUGUAUCAAUCCAAAUAUAUUAAGGAUGUUUUAUCAAAAGCUGGAAUGGAAAAUUCAAAAGGAGUCCAUUAAACUCAUUGGCCUUUACAUGCAAACACCACAAAUUCAGAGUUCGUUGGCCUCAUGCACAAAGGUCUUGCUUCCAAUCAAAGAUGUUCCUGAUGGCAAUGAUCCAAUGUUAGGCCGCCAGAAAAUACAAGUGAGACAACUUGCUUGAGAGGGAAAAAAGUGCUGAGUAAAAAGGCUAAAUUGGGUCUAGUAGGUUUGGGUAUUGGCUUCUUAGUCAUCUUGAUAAUUGGGUUGCUCUUGCUCUUCCGAAUCUACAAGAGAAAACGUGGUUAUAAAUUCUUUUAGAAUGCUUAUGUAUGCAUUGGUUGAAAUGUGCUAUAAAACCGAAUAAGGCCAAGAAUGAGAAAGAUUAUGUUAUCCAGUAAUUUGGAAGAAAAAUCACAUCCUUAAAAAUAUAGUAAAUUCCAUCCUAAUAAAAAAUAAUGUGCUAUAAAAUUAUUUCUUAAACAUGAUUUCUCAUGCCUUCAAUCAUCAGAAAAUUAUAGAGAGAGGGAGUCAUCCAAAUCAUCAAAACUUUUCUUUUUAUAGAAUUCAGUGGUCGCAAUGCCAGGUGGAAAUGGAAUGCAAGCAGUGGCACUGAGGGUAAAUAGUAAGUGUUCUAUAAAGUUAAGAUCAAAGGAAUACAGGACACUCUCUUAGACAACACAGGAACACUCAUCUUUGGCAGCCUAAAUCACUCUAUGAGGUAUACAUUAAUGAUUAUGGCCUUGCGAAAAAGUAUAGGGAUCUUUAAACUCGUAGACACAUACCAUACAGGUUUAUUGAUUGAUGUGCCAGUGCAAGUGUAUUCUUUUACUAUAGAGGUUAAGCCUACUAAUUAAGCCUACUAAUCUCUUUGAUGCUCAGAGAUCAGCUGGUGAUAGCAAAGAAUAUCCGAGAAUAAAUAUUUAAGAUUUUUAUGUAAUUAGAUGAUAUUGAAAUAUUAAAGUUAUUUUAUUUUACUUUUUAAAGAAAAACAGUAAUAGUUAUGUAGAACAAUACCAUAUGCAAUU
Arachis stenosperma is the source of this 1452-nucleotide RNA transcript. RefSeq lists it as uncharacterized. The record is from RefSeq and is a predicted model, not a curated record. The transcript is spliced from 9 exons. Lineage: Eukaryota; Viridiplantae; Streptophyta; Magnoliopsida; Fabales; Fabaceae.